RNAcentral lists this ribosomal RNA (496 nucleotides) under uncultured bacterium. RNAcentral's name for it is "partial 16S ribosomal RNA". It matches the Rfam family "Bacterial small subunit ribosomal RNA", at positions 28 to 506 of the family's 1533-position model. The record is from RNAcentral.
GAUGAACGCUGGCGGCGUGCCUAAUACAUGCAAGUCGAGCGAACGGACGAGAAGCUUGCUUCUCUGAUGUUAGCGGCGGACGGGUGAGUAACACGUGGAUAACCUACCUAUAAGACUGGGAUAACUUCGGGAAACCGGAGCUAAUACCGGAUGAUAUUUUGAACCGCAUGGUUCAAAAGUGAAAGACGGUCUUGCUGUCGCUUAUAGAUGGAUCCGCGCUGCAUUAGCUAGUUGGUAAGGUAACGGCUUACCAAGGCAACGAUGCAUAGCCGACCUGAGAGGGUGAUCGGCCACACUGGAACUGAGACACGGUCCAGACUCCUACGGGAGGCAGCAGUAGGGAAUCUUCCGCAAUGGGCGAAAGCCUGACGGAGCAACGCCGCGUGAGUGAUGAAGGUCUUCGGAUCGUAAAACUCUGUUAUUAGGGAAGAACAUAUGUGUAAGUAACUGUGCACAUCUUGACGGUACCUAAUCAGAAAGCCACGGCUAACUACGU